CAGCCGCCACGGUAAUACAGAGGGUGCGAGCGUUAAUCGGAUUUACUGGGCGUAAAGCGUGCGUAGGCGGCUUUUUAAGUCGGAUGUGAAAUCCCUGAGCUUAACUUAGGAAUUGCAUUCGAUACUGGGAAGCUAGAGUAUGGGAGAGGAUGGUAGAAUUCCAGGUGUAGCGGUGAAAUGCGUAGAGAUCUGGAGGAAUACCGAUGGCGAAGGCAGCCAUCUGGCCUAACACUGACGCUGAGGUACGAAAGCAUGGGGAGCAAACAGGAUUAGAUACCCGCGUAGUCCCUGUCUCUUAUAC
Molecule: ribosomal RNA, 301 nt
Filed under: uncultured bacterium
Lineage: Bacteria
Description: partial 16S ribosomal RNA
Rfam family: Bacterial small subunit ribosomal RNA
Source: RNAcentral